AGAGAAUAGAUACCCGGGUAGUCCUGGCCCUAAACGAUGUCCACUAGAUCGUGGCGGUUCUAACGCCGUCAUGGUCGAAAGCAAAAAAAGUGCUAAGUGGACCGCCUGGGAAGUACGGUCGCAAGGCUAAAACUCAAAGGAAUUGACGGGGGCUCACACAAGCGGUGGAGCAUGUGGUUCAAUUCGAAGCAACGCGCAGAACCUUACCUGGGCUUGACAUGCCAGGAUUAUCCCUAUGAAAGUAGGGUAGGCCCUUCGGGGUACAACUGGUACAGGUGCUGCAUGGCUGUCGUCAGCUCGUGUCGUGAGAUGUCGGGUUAAGUCCCUUAACGAGCGAAACCUUUGCCCUUAGUUACCAGCGGGUUGUGCCGGGGACUCUAAGGGGACUGCCGGUGUCAAACCGGAGGAAGGUGGAGAUGACGUCAAGUCCUCAUGGCCUUUAUGCCCAGGGCCACACACGUGCUACAAUGCGGCGCACAGAGCGAACCGAGAGCGCAAGCUGGAGGAAAUCGCACAAAUCGCCGCCCAGUUCAG
RNAcentral lists this ribosomal RNA (534 nucleotides) under uncultured bacterium. Its description in RNAcentral is "bacterial SSU rRNA". It matches the Rfam family "Bacterial small subunit ribosomal RNA", at positions 774 to 1296 of the family's 1533-position model. The record is from RNAcentral.